This 395-nucleotide ribosomal RNA is filed under the name uncultured bacterium. RNAcentral describes it as "partial 16S ribosomal RNA". It matches the Rfam family "Bacterial small subunit ribosomal RNA", at positions 523 to 918 of the family's 1533-position model. The record is from RNAcentral.
AUACGUAGGGUGCAAGCGUUAAUCGGAAUUACUGGGCGUAAAGCGUGCGCAGGCGGUUUUGUAAGACAGAGGUGAAAUCCCCGGGCUCAACCUGGGAACUGCCUUUGGGACUGCCAGGCUAGAGUACGGCAGAGGGGGGUGGAAUUCCGCGUGUAGCAGUGAAAUGCGUAGAUAUGCGGAGGACAACCGAUGGCGAAGGCAAUCCCCUGGGCCUGUAGUGACGCUCAUGCACGAAAGCGUGGGGAGCAAACAGGGUUAGAUCCCCUGGUAGUCCACGCCCUAAACGAUGUCAACUGGUUGUUGGGUCUUCAUUGACUCAGUAACGAAGCUAACGCGUGAAGUUGACCGCCUGGGGAGUACGGUAGCAAGGUUGAAACUCAAAUGAAUUGACGGGG